RNAcentral lists this ribosomal RNA (384 nucleotides) under uncultured eukaryote. RNAcentral describes it as "SSU rRNA". It matches the Rfam family "Eukaryotic small subunit ribosomal RNA", at positions 587 to 972 of the family's 1831-position model. The record is from RNAcentral.
AGCUCCAAUAGCGUAUAUUAAUGUUGUUGCAGUUAAAAAGCUCGUAGUUGGAUUUCUGGUUGGAGCGCCCGGUCCGCCCCUCACGGGGUGUGCACUUGGGCGCCUUUGACCAUCCUUGGGGAGAGCGGCGUGGGCAUUAAGUUGUCCGUGUCGGGAUCCUCAUCGUUUACUGUGAAAAAAUUAGAGUGUUUAAAGCAGGCGUUUGCUGUGAAUACAUUAGCAUGGAAUAAUAAGAUAGGACUUUGGUGCUAUUUUGUUGGUUUGUACACCGAGGUAAUGAUUAAUAGGGACAGUUGGGGGUAUUCGUAUUUAAUUGUCAGAGGUGAAAUUCUUGGAUUUAUGAAAGACGAACUACUGCGAAAGCAUUUACCAAGGAUGUUUUCA